UUUAUGUAGUGUCCUCRCAUGCUUUUGACGGGUAACGGGGAAUUAGGGUUCGACUCCGGAGAGGGAGCCUGAGAAACGGCUACCACAUCCAAGGAAGGCAGCAGGCGCGCAAAUUACCCAAUCCCGACACGGGGAGGUAGUGACAAGAAAUACCGAUACAGGGUCCUUUCGGAUCUUGUGAUUGGAAUGAGUACAAUUUAAACCCAUUAACGAGGAGCAACUAGAGGGCAAGUCUGGUGCCAGCAGCCGCGGUAAUUCCAGCUCUAGUAGCAUACAUUAAAGUUGUUGCAGUUAAAACGCCCGUAGUUGAAAUUUGGGUCUGGUCCUCUGGUCCGCCUCACCGCGAGCACUGGCAGGAUUGGGUCUUUCUUUCUGGAGAACUGCAUGCCCUUCACUGGGUGUGUCAGGGAGCCAGGACUUUUACUUUGAAAAAAUUAGAGUGUUCAAAGCAGGCUUUUGCUCGGAUACCUUAGCAUGGAAUAAUGGAAUAUGACGAGCGGUUGUAUUUCGUUGGUUUUCACGACCGCCGUAAUGAUGAUAGGGAUG
This 546-nucleotide ribosomal RNA is filed under the name Rhachomyces philonthinus. Its description in RNAcentral is "bacterial SSU rRNA". It matches the Rfam family "Eukaryotic small subunit ribosomal RNA", at positions 330 to 891 of the family's 1831-position model. Lineage: Eukaryota; Fungi; Ascomycota; Laboulbeniomycetes; Laboulbeniales; Laboulbeniaceae. The record is from RNAcentral.